RNAcentral lists this ribosomal RNA (253 nucleotides) under uncultured bacterium. RNAcentral's name for it is "partial 16S ribosomal RNA". It matches the Rfam family "Bacterial small subunit ribosomal RNA", at positions 524 to 776 of the family's 1533-position model. The record is from RNAcentral.
UACGGAGGGGGCUAGUGUUGUUCGGAAUUACUGGGCGUAAAGGGCGCGCAGGCGGCUUGGCAAGUCGAGUGUGAAAUCCCUUGGCUUAACUAAGGAAUGGCGCUCGAAACUACCUCGCUAGAGGACGGGAGAGGGAAGUGGAACUCUCGGUGUAGGGGUGAAAUCUGUAGAUAUCGAGAGGAACACCGGUGGCGAAGGCGGCUUCCUGGCCCGUAGCUGACGCUGAGGCGCGAAAGCGUGGGGAGCGAACAGG